RNAcentral lists this ribosomal RNA (529 nucleotides) under Stenotrophomonas maltophilia. Its description in RNAcentral is "bacterial SSU rRNA". It matches the Rfam family "Bacterial small subunit ribosomal RNA", at positions 122 to 646 of the family's 1533-position model. The record is from RNAcentral. Lineage: Bacteria; Pseudomonadati; Pseudomonadota; Gammaproteobacteria; Lysobacterales; Lysobacteraceae.
GAAUCUACUUUUUCGUGGGGGAUAACGUAGGGAAACUUACGCUAAUACCGCAUACGACCUACGGGUGAAAGCAGGGGAUCUUCGGACCUUGCGCGAUUGAAUGAGCCGAUGUCGGAUUAGCUAGUUGGCGGGGUAAAGGCCCACCAAGGCGACGAUCCGUAGCUGGUCUGAGAGGAUGAUCAGCCACACUGGAACUGAGACACGGUCCAGACUCCUACGGGAGGCAGCAGUGGGGAAUAUUGGACAAUGGGCGCAAGCCUGAUCCAGCCAUACCGCGUGGGUGAAGAAGGCCUUCGGGUUGUAAAGCCCUUUUGUUGGGAAAGAAAUCCAGCCGGCUAAUACCUGGUUGGGAUGACGGUACCCAAAGAAUAAGCACCGGCUAACUUCGUGCCAGCAGCCGCGGUAAUACGAAGGGUGCAAGCGUUACUCGGAAUUACUGGGCGUAAAGCGUGCGUAGGUGGUUGUUUAAGUCUGUUGUGAAAGCCCUGGGCUCAACCUGGGAACUGCAGUGGAAACUGGACAACUAGAG